GACGAACGCUGGCGGCGUGCCCAAUACAUGCAAGUCGAACGCACUCUCGUUUAGAUUGAAGGAGCUUGCUCCUGAUUGAUAAACAUUUGAGUGAGUGGCGGACGGGUGAGUAACACGUGGGUAACCUGCCCUAAAGUGGGGGAUAACAUUUGGAAACAGAUGCUAAUACCGCAUAAAACCUAACACCGCAUGGUGUAGGGUUGAAAGAUGGUUUCGGCUAUCACUUUAGGAUGGACCCGCGGUGCAUUAGUUAGUUGGUGAGGUAAAGGCUCACCAAGACCGUGAUGCAUAGCCGACCUGAGAGGGUAAUCGGCCACACUGGGACUGAGACACGGCCCAGGACUCCUACGGGAGGCAGCAGUAGGGAAUCUUCCACAAUGGACGAAAGUCUGAUGGAGCAACGCCGCCGUGAGUGAAGAAGGUUUCGG
This 428-nucleotide ribosomal RNA is filed under the name uncultured bacterium. RNAcentral's name for it is "bacterial SSU rRNA". It matches the Rfam family "Bacterial small subunit ribosomal RNA", at positions 28 to 420 of the family's 1533-position model. The record is from RNAcentral.